CCUGAAAUAAAAUCCAUUGGCAGGAUUCUGUCUUUAAGGAAGGGAGGUCAGACAGCCGCCCCGCAGCUGGGAGAGUUCUGUCAUCAGGAGGAAGCUCCGCCAGUGGGAAAGGACAGGGCCCUCUUCUUUCUCUGCCGAGCUUAACCCACUCCCCAGAGCCUGGCUCCAUUCUGAGGGGCCGCGGAGCUCCCUGUGGGAGGAGGAGGGCUGCUGGCAGAAGGAAUCUGUCUCCUGCCCCUCAGACGGCCGGCCUGGGAAUCCGCCCGCCGUGUGUGAACAACCCUCUUCUUGGUCAACUAGAGAUCCAUUUGGUCCUCAAGAAGCUGACUCCACGCCUGCCCCAGGGAUAAGCCAAUCAGCAUACUGCAUCCUCUAACCACUGAGAUUGCUCAGAGUGUGACAUGUGACUUUAACUAGUCCAAUGAGAUUGACUUCUGAAACUUUUGCUGGAAUGCUGGGA
Molecule: long non-coding RNA, 460 nt
Filed under: Capra hircus (goat)
Lineage: Eukaryota; Metazoa; Chordata; Mammalia; Artiodactyla; Bovidae
Description: lncRNA (ENSCHIG00000002317.1)
Source: RNAcentral